Molecule: long non-coding RNA, 3254 nt
Filed under: Salvia miltiorrhiza (redroot sage)
Lineage: Eukaryota; Viridiplantae; Streptophyta; Magnoliopsida; Lamiales; Lamiaceae
Description: long non-coding RNA (SMIL_LNC010385)
Source: RNAcentral
AGCAGAAAACGUGUGAGAUAUACAUAUGAAGAUGUAUACUCAAGGUUACAUUUCUUGAAAUGUCAAAGGAACACCCGCUCAACACCAUUCCAUUCCAUCAGCUGCUCAACCUGCACAUUUAGAAAUACAUGCAGGGCUGAGUAUAAAAAUACUCAGUGGACAUAUGCCGAAAAUACAACAUGCAUACAUAUAUAAAUUGAACUGCCAUAACAGUAACACACAGGGGUUUUCUUGAAAGACCUGCGCUUACUAAAACAUUUCUUUCAUUUUCAUAAGAUUGGCCGGCCGACCUAUUUUCCUUCAUAUGAUCCAUAUCUGUUCCUUUCUGUCACGCGCCGGGAAGGAGGCCUCCUUACCACGGACGCCAAGACCGGUCGCAAGCGACUCGCGGUCUCCAUAGUGUACACUUAACCCUAGCUAGCGACCUUUGUCUAGCAUAGGAUCCCAAUUGGAUUUCCUUUAAAGUUGGCGAACCAACACAGAUAGGAUACAUAUCAAAACAUAAACAUUUUUGGCAGUCAAUCAUUUCAUAAACAUUUCAUUUCAUUUCAUAAACAUUCAUUUUCAUUUCAUAAGAGUCAUUUAUCAUUUGGGCAUAAUAAUAAACUGAAAUUAACAGUUAAAAUCAUUCAUGCAUAUAUUCGUAUAAGAGGCCUAGCACGCAGGGGAUCUCUAAUACUAUAGUAAAAGUAAUGCCCACCUCAAACGUUCUUAAGCUAGCGUGGAGUCGCUUCUUCUUCGGCUUCACUUCUGUCGCCCGGACCUUUAUUGAUGAAGAGUCGGUAAGUUCGUGAAGAAAAUUGUCACAAGACAAAGUCUAAUUCUACGUGCCUAGGGUAUCCUUUAGUGUUUUAGGGUUCUAGCAUCCAUAAUUCAUUUCGAUUAAAACAAUCAAAAACCAACAUAACAUCGACUAACCACAUAAUAUCACGUAACCACAUAACAAACAAAAUAAAAGAAUUCAACAUCCUUAAACUUAAUAUCAUUUAGAAAUUCACAUGUUCACAUAAGAGAUAAUAAUCAUGCACCAUCAAAACAUGCUCUGUUUUUACACUGACUCAACUUCAAAAAUUAACCUGUUCUGACUCCGACAUCUCCUGGACUCGAGACUCAGACCAAAAGAAAGAUCUUCGAGUCUAGUUUCAUAUAAAAAAAGUAGAGUCAAAAACUCCAAGUGGUUUGGGAGAUAUGUCAUUUUUACCACGAUCUACCAUAUUCCGCAGUUUUGAGCAAUCGAAAACUUGGAUUUUUGAAAAAUAGUAAAUGUUGUCAAACUGGGAUCAAAUUUAGUGGAUAUCUAGAUAACAAAAUAAGGUUAAUACCAUACAAAUUUGGAAAGCUAUAUCACACAGGAAGCUACUUAAAAUAAUGACUCUUUACCCUGUUCUCUGAAAUUCUCGGUAGUAAAGUGCAGUUUAGGGUUUGUAUUUUAUAAAAAUAGUAAACGAAGUCCAAAUGACUUGAAAUUUUACCGGUGUGCUUAAGACUCUCAAAUAUACUUACCAUAAAAUUUUCAUGGCUUUUGGUUAUCAAAAUCGCGUCGAAAACAGUAGGUCCGUAGCCUUUUAAAAAAAGUUCUCAAAUUAACUCCCGCACUUGAGCAUAAAGCAAAUAUACCUAAAUUCCGGACUUCUUCAAUGAAAAAAUUCUCAAAAAUUCAAAUUAAGCUCAUAUAAAUCACAAUAACAUAAAUACAUGAUCAUAUAACUCAAGAAAAUUCAAACAUCGACUUCCCCUUUUUCUCCUUACAUUCGACCAACACAUAAGUCAUUAGGAGUUGGUCCGUUUCGUCUCAUAUCGCAUAUACAAGCUCAAUUUAUCAUCAAAUAGCCAUAUAUAAACAUGCUCGACUCAUAACUCAUCUUAUAUACAAGAUCUCAUGUAUGCACGCAAACUAAACUUAACCAAUUUUAGGCAUUACUUGACAAUUAACCUAAAUUGAUCCCUAAUUAUACGUAUUUCUAUUCAUGUCUUAAUAACAAUUAAACUUAGCCAAUUUAAUCAAUUAACACAUAGAUCACAAAGUCCCAAUUUUUAACAAACUAAACUUUUUGAAAAUCUACAAACAUACAUAAAUCAUUAAUCCAACCUUAGAUUAAUCAAAUUGGUACACUUAGUAGCAUAAAUAAGCAAUCAAUUAGUAAAUUAAACCAUAGAAUCAAUUUUACCCAAAUUACAUCAAACUAACUCAUAUCAAAAAUUACCAAUCAAUUUCAACCAUCAAUCCAAUCCAUCAAAUCUCAUAUAAACACUCUCAAUAGCAUAUAUCAUCCAUCAAUUCAUCAAUCAAGCCUCAAAUACAAAACUUCCCAAAUUUUACACAAACUAAACUAUUUCAAAUCUCAUUAUCUCUUUUUAAUUCAAUUAUCUACACAUGGAUAUAACUCAUAGGUUCCCAAUAGUAUUUAAGUCACAUCACUUAAUAAACGGAUAAGAAAAAUUUUUGAUUUUUAUUAGACUCAACUUUUUGAAAUUUAUAAAUACAGAUGGGUGUUUUCUAGUUUGAUCUAUCCAUUUCCACCUUUUAAACUCACAUAUAAACCAUCAAUUAACAAUUUAGCAUAGAUACACAUAUCCCAAUUUAUAAACUAACUCAUAUCAAAAUCAUCAAUUGACAUCAUAUACUCAAUUUACUCCAUCAAUCAUCAUCAUAUACAUCUCAUAGACUCAUCUUCAUCAUCAAUCAUCAUUUAAUCAUCGACUCACCAUUUCCCAAUUUUGGGUAAACUAAACUCAAUCGACUUUCACAUCUCAAAGCAUAUACUUUCACAACACACAUCAAUCAUCAACAAACACCACAUAGAUCUCAUUUUUUUUUUCCCAAAUCAAGGAAAGAAAAAGAAAUUUUUGAAGGGUAAAGACCCAUUUUUUUGAAAAUUUUAAGAACAAGGGAGAGGUGAUUUUCUUUCUUCAUACAACAUCAUUCAAGCAAGAUUUAUGGAAUACAUGACCACUUACCCAAAUUUCUCACCAAAACUCACAUUUUCUCACUCUAGCUUGGAAGCCUUUCUUCAAUGAUUCUCUUGAAUAUAAGUAGCUAGGAUGUGUUUAUGGAAGAUUUUAGAGUGGAUUGAGGUGUUUUGUAAAAUUUUUUGGAAGCUUCGAAGGUCUCUUCAAUGGAGGAAAAUGGAGGAAAGUGAGAGAAAGAGGGAGAGAGGUGUUGGUCGAAAAUGAUGAGUGAGGAGUGAGAGAGGAUUUUGCAAGAUUGUAAAUGAUCUUGUGAUCUUUAAAGAGGAUUUUGUAAUCUUAAGGAA